AUUAAAAAUUGGGCCUAAAACCAAAAUAAAAGUUCAAAACUCUGCCCAGGAGAAACCCAACAAACAUUAGGGUUUUAAAACAUGAGACAACAAAACAAUAAAAAUCAAAACAUAAAGCAAAAAAAUCUAGAAGCUUCAAAUCCAGGCCUCUACAGAUACCUCUAACCCUAAAUAGUAACAAAUCUUUCUAUAGAUUCCAACGAACUGAAACAUACAGGAUGUGGAUUGAGGUUGCCUUUGCAAUAGUUCAAGAAUAUCCCCAACCCACGAACAUAACAUAAAUUCAAAAUGAUUACAGUGGUUGUUGAAAUCGACGGUCCACAUCUGCCAACUCUUUAGCUUCCAUUGGUGCAUCCUCAACCCAGAAGCAGUCCUCAAGCCCCCUCAUGCCCUCCUCCACUAGUGCAUGUGCAACAGAGUUACCCUGGUGCACAGUAAACUCAAAACAAUAGCCAGAGAAAGACCCUGCCCAAACCUUUACAUCCUAGGUAACCUAUCUCGUCUCUGAAUAGUCCCCGCCUGGAGAUGUUAGGUUCUUAAUUGUAUGCUUUGAAUCACCCUCCAAAAUAACCUACGUAAAACCCAUUCAGAUGCGAACUGUAUUCCAUGGAGCACUGCUAUCACCUCUGCCAUUGUAGCUGUAGUGACCAGGUCAUGAACUCGAAACCCACAAGAACCCCUUUUCAUUUCUUAUAAAAAAUCUUAAUGUUGCCAACUGUUUUGCAGCCGAGAAACUAGCAUCAGCAUUCACCUUUACUUAGUUUGAUGGAGGGGGUUCCAAUGAAUCAUCUCACGUGGUCUUGGAUGUUGUAGAUUAUCUGUUAAGUCCCAAUAUUCGCGGCUAUAACCUCUAAUGAAGGUAACCCUCCUACUUAACAUUGGAUUGCGCAACGGAUUUCACAUUUUGAUUUAGUAUUUCAUGGUUUUAUACUAUUUGAUUUAAAUUGAACAUUUCAGACUUUAUUAUGGUUUGUAUAACUUUUGGACAUUUUAUGAUUUCUUUAGAUCAUUAGGACUAAA
Gossypium raimondii (Peruvian cotton) is the source of this 1020-nucleotide long non-coding RNA. RefSeq lists it as uncharacterized. The transcript has 2 exons. NCBI's taxonomy places the organism in Eukaryota, Viridiplantae, Streptophyta, Magnoliopsida, Malvales, Malvaceae. The record is from RefSeq and is a predicted model, not a curated record.